Molecule: ribosomal RNA, 434 nt
Filed under: uncultured Lachnospiraceae bacterium
Lineage: Bacteria; Bacillati; Bacillota; Clostridia; Lachnospirales; Lachnospiraceae
Description: bacterial SSU rRNA
Rfam family: Bacterial small subunit ribosomal RNA
Source: RNAcentral
ACGGGAGGCAGCAGUGGGGAAUAUUGCACAAUGGGCGAAAGCCUGAUGCAGCGACGCCGCGUGAGUGAAGAAGUAUCUCGGUAUGUAAAGCUCUAUCAGCAGGGAAGAAAAUGACGGUACCUGACUAAGAAGCCCCGGCUAACUACGUGCCAGCAGCCGCGGUAAUACGUAGGGGGCAAGCGUUAUCCGGAUUUACUGGGUGUAAAGGGAGCGUAGACGGCGACGCAAGUCUGGAGUGAAAGCCCGGGGCCCAACCCCGGGACUGCUUUGGAAACUGUGCUGCUGGAGUGCAGGAGAGGUAAGUGGAAUUCCUAGUGUAGCGGUGAAAUGCGUAGAUAUUAGGAGGAACACCAGUGGCGAAGGCGGCUUACUGGACUGUAACUGACGUUGAGGCUCGAAAGCGUGGGGAGCAAACAGGAUUAGAUACCCUGGUA